RNAcentral lists this ribosomal RNA (374 nucleotides) under uncultured bacterium. RNAcentral describes it as "bacterial SSU rRNA". It matches the Rfam family "Bacterial small subunit ribosomal RNA", at positions 1133 to 1505 of the family's 1533-position model. The record is from RNAcentral.
UUUCACUCUAGCGAGACUGCCGGUAAUAAACCGGAGGAAGGUGGGGAUGACGUCAAAUCAUCAUGCCCCUUAUGACCUGGGCUACACACGUGCUACAAUGGCUGGUACAACAAGUCGCAAGCCGGUGACGGCAAACUAAUCUCUGAAAGCCAGUCUCAGUUCGGAUUGUAGGCUGCAACUCGCCUACAUGAAGUCGGAAUCGCUAGUAAUCGCGGAUCAGCACGCCGCGGUGAAUACGUUCCCGGGCCUUGUACACACCGCCCGUCACACCACGAGAGUUUGUAACACCCGAAGUCGGUGAGGUAACCGUAAGGAGCCAGCCGCCUAAGGUGGGAUAGAUGAUUGGGGUGAAGUCGUAACAAGGGUAACCGUAA